AGAGUUUGAUCAUGGCUCAGGAUGAACGCUAGCUACAGGCUUAACACAUGCAAGUCGAGGGGCAGCAUGUUGGUUGCUUGCAACCAACGAUGGCGACCGGCGCACGGGUGAGUAACGCGUAUCCAACCUACCCUUGUCCAUCGGAUAACCCGUCGAAAGGCGGCCUAACACGAUAUGCGGUUCACGGCAGGCAUCUAAGGUGAACGAAAUGUGAAGGAGAAGGAUGGGGAUGCGUCUGAUUAGCUUGUUGGCGGGGUAACGGCCACAGGCUACGAUCAGUAGGGGUUCUGAGAGGAAGGUCCCCCANAUUGGAACUGAGACACGGUCCAAACUCCGUACGGGAGGCA
Molecule: ribosomal RNA, 347 nt
Filed under: uncultured bacterium
Lineage: Bacteria
Description: bacterial SSU rRNA
Rfam family: Bacterial small subunit ribosomal RNA
Source: RNAcentral